GUCGCUGGUCAGACCUCAUGACUCACUUGGACUCUUGAGCCACCUCUGGGGGUGGAGUCUCUCUCCUGGCAUCUGGACCCUUGGUGCUAUCGACGAAGCUUGGCUGGCACUCUUAGCUGCUAUGUGCAAGACAUGUGUCCCAGGGAAAGCCCCUCUCUCUCUGCAGAGGUCAAGUGAAAGCCACAGCUGCAGCCAACAGAGUUCAAAAUGCAGGCUUGGAAAGUCCAGGGGGCUCUGUGGAGGAUGGGAAGGACUGAUCCACAUUCCCACCAGGAAGUUUAGCGGAACCCCCGCAUGCCACCUGGACCCCCUGGAAGGACCUGGCCAAGGCUGGAGCACCUCUUGAGAGGCAGGAGCUCCGGAUUUGAUCAAGAAUUCUUGGCUGAGCAUGGUGCCUCAUGCCUAUAAUCCCAACACUUUGGGAGGCCAAUGUGGGAGGAUCUCUUGAGCCCAGGAGUUCAAGACUAGCCUGGGCAACACAGGGAGACCCCAUCUCUAAAAAAAAUAAUAAUAAUAAAAUAAAAAAUUAGCAGGGCAUGGUGGCAUGUGCCUGUAGUCCCAGCUACCCAGGAGGCUGAGGCAAGAGGAUGGCUGGAGCCUGGGACGUUGAGGCUGCAAUGAACUGUGAUUACCCCACUGCACUCCAGCCUGGGCAAAAGAGCGAGAGACCCUGUCUCAAAUAAUAAUAAUAAUAAUGAUAAUCUUAUUUUGGAGAAUAAAGAGACCUCUGGAUUUGAGGUGCCAUUUGGGUAGAAAGAAAAGACCUUUACCCUGAGAAACAGUCUGUGUUGACCUGAAGGAGCAGAGGGAUGCAUCGCUGGAGGUGACCUACAGUUGAAGAAGACUCAUUAUGACAGACCUUGUCCUUCUUCCUUGUGGAAAGUGUUUCCUCUGCUGCUACUGCUCAUGAGA
This 912-nucleotide long non-coding RNA is filed under the name Pongo abelii (Sumatran orangutan). Its description in RNAcentral is "lincRNA". The record is from RNAcentral. Lineage: Eukaryota; Metazoa; Chordata; Mammalia; Primates; Hominidae.